CAUUAAACUUUUGAGUUCCCUACUGAAAAAUUAAAAGGACGGAAUUAAUCACUGGAAAGUAGCAUCUCAUAGUGAUUUAGCUCUUUGCUCAAGUUGUUUUGCCCACCUCUUCCUCAAUCUUUUUUUAUUUUGCCCACCUGUGUUAGUUUGCCCUUCCUUACUGAUAGUUUGUUCUUAGCUAAAAUUGGUUGUUGGAUCCAUUUUAUGCCAAAAAGGGGCACUCAAGAUAAAAGAGAACUUUGAUCCAAAACUAAAAGAACAAAAAAAAAAGAACGGAGUGGCCGGUGGGCGUCGACAGCAGGGCUGGGCCAUCUUCCUCUGGCUCUGUCUUCCUCGUCUUCCUCGGUGUUGACCAAUCAGCUAGCUCUAAAGAAGAUGAUAUAGAGAGAAGUGAAGGGGGGAGGAGGGGCACGGUGGUGGUCAAGGUAGGAGAGGAGGAGAGAUGCGAAUGGCCUGUGCUUGCUGGUGUUCCUCUCCAUCUGCUGCUGCACCUCCCUCUCCUCUUUCCUCUCUCUUUCUCCCUCAUCUCCUUCCUUCUCUCUUUCCCACAUCUUCUAACUCUCCUGCAGGGACAAGCUCAUGGCACUGGACUGAAUCGAGUGCCCCAGCUGUCGCCCUUUGCCUGCAGGUCGCCCCC
This 637-nucleotide long non-coding RNA is filed under the name Triticum aestivum (bread wheat). RNAcentral's name for it is "long non-coding RNA (TAES_LNC027246)". The record is from RNAcentral. Lineage: Eukaryota; Viridiplantae; Streptophyta; Magnoliopsida; Poales; Poaceae.